This 537-nucleotide ribosomal RNA is filed under the name uncultured bacterium. RNAcentral describes it as "bacterial SSU rRNA". It matches the Rfam family "Bacterial small subunit ribosomal RNA", at positions 974 to 1509 of the family's 1533-position model. The record is from RNAcentral.
CCUGGCCUUGACAUACUAAGAACUUUCCAGAGAUGGAUUGGUGCCUUCGGGAACUUAGAUACAGGUGCUGCAUGGCUGUCGUCAGCUCGUGUCGUGAGAUGUUGGGUUAAGUCCCGCAACGAGCGCAACCCUUUUCCUUAUUUGCCAGCGGGUUAAGCCGGGAACUUUAAGGAUACUGCCAGUGACAAACUGGAGGAAGGCGGGGACGACGUCAAGUCAUCAUGGCCCUUACGGCCAGGGCUACACACGUGCUACAAUGGUCGGUACAAAGGGUUGCUACCUCGCGAGAGGAUGCUAAUCUCAAAAAAGCCGAUCGUAGUCCGGAUCGCAGUCUGCAACUCGACUGCGUGAAGUCGGAAUCGCUAGUAAUCGCGGAUCAGAAUGCCGCGGUGAAUACGUUCCCGGGCCUUGUACACACCGCCCGUCACACCAUGGGAGUUUGUUGCACCAGAAGUAGGUAGUCUAACCGCAAGGAGGACGCUUACCACGGUGUGGCCGAUGACUGGGGUGAAGUCGUAACAAGGUAGGCGUAGAUGA